GUCCUAGCCGUAAACGAUGGACACUGAGUGAAGGAGGGCUUGCCUUUCUUUGCUGCAGCUAACGCGUUAAGUGUCCCGCCUGGGGAGUACGGCCGCAAGGUUAAAACUCAAAGGAAUUGACGGGGGCUCGCACAAGCGGUGGAGCAUGUGGUUCAAUUCGAUGCAACGCGAAGAACCUUACCCGGGCUUGAAGUGGAUGUGGUAGGAACCGGAAACGGUAACGACCCCGCAAGGGGAGCAUUCAUCAGGUGUUGCAUGGCUGUCGU
Molecule: ribosomal RNA, 266 nt
Filed under: uncultured bacterium
Lineage: Bacteria
Description: partial 16S ribosomal RNA
Rfam family: Bacterial small subunit ribosomal RNA
Source: RNAcentral